UGAGGAAUAUUGGUCAAUGGGCGGGAGCCUGAACCAGCCAAGCCGCGUGAGGGAAGAAGGCCCUAUGGGUCGUAAACCUCUUUUGUCAGGGAACAAAAGCGAGUAUGUAUACUAGUCUGAGUGUACCUGAAGAAAAAGCAUCGGCUAACUCCGCGCCAGCAGCCGCGGUAAUACGGAGGAUGCGAGCGUUAUCCGGAUUUAUUGGGUUUAAAGGGUGCGUAGGCGGCGAUGCAAGUCAGCGGUAAAAGCCCGGGGCUCAACCCCGGCGAGCGUUGAAACUGCAGUGCUAGAGAAGGCGAGAGGUACGCGGAAUGCGCAGUGUAGCGGUGAAAUGCUUAGAUAUUGCGCAGAACUCCGAUUGCGAAGGCAGCGUACUGGCGCCUGACUGACGCUGAGGCACGAAAGCGUGGGGAUCGAACAGGAUUAGAUACCC
Molecule: ribosomal RNA, 433 nt
Filed under: uncultured bacterium
Lineage: Bacteria
Description: bacterial SSU rRNA
Rfam family: Bacterial small subunit ribosomal RNA
Source: RNAcentral